RNAcentral lists this long non-coding RNA (769 nucleotides) under Anas platyrhynchos platyrhynchos (common mallard). RNAcentral's name for it is "lncRNA (ENSAPLG00000027959.1)". The record is from RNAcentral. Lineage: Eukaryota; Metazoa; Chordata; Aves; Anseriformes; Anatidae.
UUCAAUGGGCUCCUCACUCAAUUUUGAUUAUAUAUUGUCUAAUACAUAGAUAAUAACCUCUUUGUGGCUGAAUUGUAUUUUUAUGUUUAUACAGCAAUUAACACAAGUCAACUCUCAUUCAUUAGUCAUUUCAAAGGAUAAAUGAUUAGGCAGCAAUAUGUAAAUGAUGCCCCUUCCUUAAGCAGGUGAGGUGAUUUGUUUUUUUACUAUGUAUUCAUUAAUAUUUGGGGAUGGGGGGAAUUAAAACAAAAAUCAGCUCCACCAUAGUAUAGUCAUAGCAACACAAAUUUAAGGAAACAUAUACCAGAUAUACAUAAAUAUUUCACUUUUAAAAUGAUCUAUGGAGUAUUUGGUUAUUGGCCUCCAUAAAUAAUACCCAGAUAAACUUCAUCUGUAAGUGAAAGGAGAUUUGGAGUCUUAAACUGACAGUAAUAAAAGGGGGCAUGACGACAAAAGGAACACUACUUCUGCUCAUUUUACAGAGGGCCUCACCUGAUUAAGGCAAAAAGAAGGCAGAAAACGGCAGAAGGCAAUUACUGAAGCUUGGGGACGUAAGCAAGCUUUAUCUCGAAGGAUACCCUGUACGCAUUUCAGUGUGCCGAAUGAAAAGGUAAUGUCAGCUGGAAGCUCUCAUUCAGCAAGCAGUCAAGGAAACACUUAUUUUUAGAUUCUUUUCUACACCUGAACAGACAAAGAAUCAGGUUUGGCUGCAAAUGACAGUGUGUUGCUUAAGAAUAAACUGUAUAUGCCUUCAUGCCGGAAAUUAAAA